AGUCCUUGCUUUUAUUUUGAUAGGUUUCUACUUCCCGUUUUAGUUCCCUUGAUAGGAUUCUCAGCUGGAGCUGGUUUUUAAUCAACUUUUUGUUAACAAAAGAUUUUAAUUUGAUCCUCACGAGUCUGGUGUGGCACAUUUGAGUCCAUCUGCUUCUGCUGUUACAUAUUUUUAUUUUGGUAUGUUUCUACUUUUGUUACUAUUACUUUUGAUUGUUUUGUAACUGGUGAUGCACAUUUGAGUCCACCUGUUCGUGCUGUUGCUGCUUAUAUUUUGGUUUCUACUUCCAUUUUCUGUUGUCUGGAUAGGAUUCAGCUAUGUUGACCAGUUUUUUUUUUUUUUUUAUUAAACUAACAAAGGACUUGGAUCUUCCGCAGCUCUCAUAUGGUUAUUUUGGCGCUGAUGUGCUGCUUACUUGUAGAAGAGCACGUAAGCCUCAGCAUUCUGGACGCAAGACUCUGACACCUCAGUCACGCUUUGGUCAUCAAACUCAUACCAAAGAUUGUUGAUGUCAUUCCUGCAGUAGGCAAUGUAGUGGCCACCUGCAGAAGCGAGAAGAGAUGACUGACAGCAGGUCGUAGUUGGCAGUCUGCGCUGAGCUGUCCUUGGCCAGGAAGGGCUGCAGGUCCAAGCCCUCCAGCGGGAAGGAGACGUGUGUGCCAAUCUUGGUGGAGAACAUCAGCUCGUGUCUGAAGCGCUUCAGGGUGCACAUUUCGCCAGACUUGAGAUAAGCUCGUCCCUGGCAAAAAAGGCUGCAAGACAAUCUUGUAGCAUGACCACAGGACCCCAGAACCAGCUGAAAAUAGGAGGGGACACAAGAUGGAUGAAACCUGCUUUGCUUGAGCCAGCUUUAACCAGGGACGUCUGGUGGGUGGCCGAGUGCAGCUUGGCCAAGUCUUCCUUCCCCGGGAUGGGCAAGGAGAUGUCCUGGAAGUUCUCUAGCGUGACCGACACCUAAAAACACAAAUGGUCAACGUGUUGUUGAGCAUGCUGACGUGUGUUAGGGUGACCCAAUCCCCCCCCUCUCGCCCAAUACUGACCCGAUCGCAAGUGAGGCACUGCACGGAGCUCACAAUGGUCCCGUCGAACACGUCCGAGAUAACGCUGCGGUACCUCUUCUGACACUUGCUCUUGGCUGGGGAGAAUGUGCUCAU
This is a long non-coding RNA of Phyllopteryx taeniolatus (common seadragon), 1154 nucleotides long. RefSeq lists it as uncharacterized. The transcript is spliced from 7 exons. Lineage: Eukaryota; Metazoa; Chordata; Actinopteri; Syngnathiformes; Syngnathidae. The record is from RefSeq and is a predicted model, not a curated record.